This is a long non-coding RNA of Dicentrarchus labrax (European seabass), 2235 nucleotides long. The record is from Ensembl. Lineage: Eukaryota; Metazoa; Chordata; Actinopteri; Moronidae.
AUGAAAGCUGCCAAUGUCCGUCAACCAUUGGUCGGUCUCAACCUCAUUUGGGAAAGACUGGAUGAACUUUAUGGUGCUCCAGAAGCCAUAGAGAAGGCUUUGUUCGCAAAACUGGACAACUUCCCAAGAAUAGGCAACUGCGAUAACCACAGACUUCGAGAACUUGGGGAUUUACUGUGCGAACUUGAAGCUGCUAAGGAAGAUGGUUAUCUCCAAGGAUUAGCCUAUCUGGACACAGCAAGGGGAGUGAGUCCCAUUGUAGAAAAAUUGCCCUUCCAUUUACAGGAUAAAUGGAUGACAUUUGGAUCAAAAUAUAAGGAAGAUCACAGGGUACAUUUCCCACCCUUUUCAGUCUUCUCUGAAUUUGUAAGGAGACAAGCCAGGGCAAGAAACGAUCCAAGUUUUUAUGUGACCAAUACAGUUGCACCCGCUCUGAAAAAGGAGAGAAUGGGGAAUCUCAAUUACAAGAAUCCUGUGUCUGUGCACAAGACAAGUGUGAGCAACAAGGAAACCACUACAGAUAGAGAGGGGAACCAAACAGAAGAUGUGAACACGCUAUGUCCCAUACAUAAAAAACCACACGCACUUAAGAAGUGCAGGAGCUUUCGAGCUAUGCUCUUGGAUGACAGGAAGAAAUUCCUCAGGGACAAGGGAGUGUGUUUUCGCUGCUGUGCUUCAGUCUCCCACCAGGCCAAGGACUGUGGUGCUUCAAUCAAAUGCGCAGAGUGCGGAAGUGAAUGUCAUGUGGCCGCACUGCACUUUGGUCCUGCUCCAAGAGAGUCAAAGGAGCUGAUCUCUUUCAAGGAGCAAAAAGGCUCCAAAGAGCAGAGCCCUUCCAAGGUUCAUGGCGGGGAGCCAGUCACCACACCCAAUGAUGAACAAAUCCUAGCGGCUAAACCACUGUGUACACAAGUUUGUGGUAAAGGCUUCGGAGAGAAGUCGUGCUUGAAAAUAUGUCUGGUUAACGUUUAUCCUGAAGGUCGUUCAGAGGAGGGUAAAAGGAUGUACGUGAUCUUAGAUGAUCAGAGUAACGUCUCAUUGGCCAAGACAGAAUUUUUUGACGCCUUUCAAAUACAAGGGCCACGAAUACCAUACAUCCUGACUACAUGUGCUGGAGUUGUCAAGGUGACCGGUAGAAGAGCUCAAGGUUACAUGGUUGAGCCACUCACAGGAGAGCUAAGUAUCGCCCUUCCAACUCUAAUAGAGUGUAAUAAAGUGCCAAACAGUCGAGCAGAAAUCCCAACCCCAGAAGCAGCAUACCACCACAGCCACAUGCAAGCUAUGGCUGACCAAAUACCUGCUCUCAAUGACACUGCAGACAUCUUGCUCCUGUUAGGGAGGGACAUUCUCCAGGUCCACAAGGUGCGUCGGCAGUAUAAUGGCCCAGACAACGCUCCAUUUGCCCAGAAGCACUAUCUUGGGUGGGUCAUUGUCGGUGACGUUUGCCUGGGUGGAGCCCACACCCCUACAGAAGUGAACACAUUUAAAACAUGCAUUAUGGACAAUGGCCGUCCCAGUUAUAUGCGUCCUUGUGAGAACCUUGUCAAAAUUAAGGAGGAUUUCAGCCAGACCCUUCAGCAGAACAGCUCUCUACCUUGGCCUCCUUCUCUGGAGCAGCAAGAGGACCUCCUUGGUGCAACAGUCUUCCAAAGGACUGAAAAAGACAAUCAGUUAGCACCUUCAAUCGACGAUUUGACCUUCCCACAGCUAAUGGACAAGGGGUUUGUUAAGGAUGAAAGUGGCAGCUGGGUGGCACCCUUGCCCUUUCGAAACCCAAGGAAGCCGCUCCCUAACAACAGGCAGCAGGCACACCAACGGCUUAUGUCAUUGCAGCGAGCUUUCCAGAAGAGACCCAGCAUGAAAGAAGACUUCCUGGAGUUCAUGCAAGGGAUUUUGGAUAGCAACCAUGCAGAGUUGGCACCACCACCAGAGGGAAGGGAGGUGUGGUACCUUCCUAUUUUUGGAGUCUACCACCCGCACAAACCCGGUAAAAUCAGGGUUGUUUUCGACUCAAGUGCUCGCUUCGAGGGUGUCUCACUGAAUGAGGUCUUGCUUCAGGGGCCCAAUCUCAACAACGGUCUUCUGGGAGUUCUUCUUAGGUUCAGGAAGGAACUGGUUGCCAUAACUGCAGAAAGUUUUAUUGCUUCCUGGUCCAGGAAGAGCAUCGAGAUGUUUUGCGCAUUUUGUGGUUCAAGGACAACAACCCUGAAAGUGAAGUGGUGGAUUACCGGAUGA